GGAUGAAGAACGUAGCGAAAUGCGAUAACUAAUGUGAAUUGCAGAAUUCAGUGAAUCAUCGAGUCUUUGAACGCACAUUGCGCCCCCUGGUAUUCCGGGGGGCAUGCCUGUCCGAGCGUCAUUGCUGCCCUCAAGCACGGCUUGUGUGUUGGGCUCCGUCCCCCCGGGGACGGGCCCGAAAGGCAGCGGCGGCACCGAGUCCGGUCCUCGAGCGUAUGGGGCUUUGUCACCCGCUCUGUAGGCCCGGCCGGCGCCAGCCGACAACCCAUCAUCCUUUUCAGGUUGACCUCGGAUCAGGUAGGGAUACCCGCUGAACUUAAGCAUAUCAAUAAGCGGAGGA
This 340-nucleotide unclassified non-coding RNA is filed under the name soil metagenome. Its description in RNAcentral is "partial contains 5.8S ribosomal RNA, internal transcribed spacer 2, and large subunit ribosomal RNA". The stretch from base 2 to 121 matches the Rfam family "5.8S ribosomal RNA", at positions 35 to 154 of the family's 154-position model. The record is from RNAcentral.